Molecule: long non-coding RNA, 978 nt
Organism: Daphnia pulicaria
Lineage: Eukaryota; Metazoa; Arthropoda; Branchiopoda; Diplostraca; Daphniidae
Exons: 5
Source: RefSeq, a predicted model, not a curated record
GCAAGCGUCUUCUAAAGCAUGGACAAGUCGCCAUUGUCCUGUCCAUUUUUCUGAUAGAUCUUAUAAAUUUGUCACAGAACUACAGAACAUUCAUCGGUUGAUUCAGAAUCAGGUCAGAUUGUCAGUGGUACUGGUUUCGAUAACCUUCAAGUCAACAUUGGAUACCUUGGUCUUAGAACUCUCAUCGAUUGAAUUCAUACUAGGUCACAUUGUCAGUGGUACUGGUUUCGAUAACCUUCAAGUCAACAUUGGAUACCUUGGUCAUAGAACUCUCAUCGAUUGAAUUCAUACUAGUAUAGGUCAGAUUGCUAAUGGUACUGACUCGAUAACCUUCAAGUCAACAUUGGAUACCUUUGUCAAUGAACUUUAUUCACCGAUUGAAUUCAUAAUAGGUACCUCAUUUUUAUUGGUUUAAUUUCAAAUUUCAAACCCGGUGAUAUUUAUUUACUGUUAUUAUGAAUACCUGUGUAGGCCAGAUUGCUAGUGGUACUGACUUGUUUAACUUCUCAUCAACAAGACCUGAUACGUUGUUUCAAAACAUUCAUUGAUUGAAUUCAUAAUCAGAGGGAAUCAGAAUGAACGCAACGUACGUAGAUCUCAAGGAUGCGGUGUUUGAACAUGAGACCAGGAAGUUUUUCGUCCGCGCUCCUGAAAAAGUUCGCACUAAACUUCGAGCGAAGAAGCGCCCAGCAGGCACGUCUGAUCAUCCACAACUUCCCAAUGGUGUGGAUUGAAAAUCGUCGUUUCAGUUGUGAGUUAAGGACCAUCAUGCCUUACCCCACUUAGUCAAAUUCAAUUUCAACCAAUCAAGAAUCACUUCUCAUGGAUUAUUCAAAAUCCAAAAUCAAGAUAUGUUGAAGAAUCAAGAAUGUCAAGUUGGCGCGCCGUGCCGUGCAGAAACCCCUAGUUGCCUAGUAACUUUAUUACAUUCACGUGUAUUAACAUGUAUGUCUGUCCUUAAUUAAUAAAGUUGGUUAC